This 301-nucleotide ribosomal RNA is filed under the name uncultured bacterium. Its description in RNAcentral is "partial 16S ribosomal RNA". It matches the Rfam family "Bacterial small subunit ribosomal RNA", at positions 509 to 807 of the family's 1533-position model. The record is from RNAcentral.
CAGUAGCCGCGGGAACACGAAGGGUGCAAGCGUUAAUCGGAAUUACUGGGCGUAAAGCGUGCGUAGGCGGUGAGUUAAGUCUGCUGUGAAAUCCCCGGGCUCAACCUGGGAAUGGCAGUGGAUACUGGCUCGCUAGAGUGUGUCAGAGGAUGGUGGAAUUCCCGGUGUAGCGGUGAAAUGCGUAGAGAUCGGGAGGAACAUCAGUGGCGAAGGCGGCCAUCUGGGACAACACUGACGCUGAGGCACGAAAGCGUGGGGAGCAAACAGGAUUAGAUACCCGCGUAGUCCCUGUCUCUUAUAC